RNAcentral lists this microRNA precursor (52 nucleotides) under Callithrix jacchus (white-tufted-ear marmoset). RNAcentral describes it as "microRNA 502 (ENSCJAG00000052516.2)". The record is from RNAcentral. Lineage: Eukaryota; Metazoa; Chordata; Mammalia; Primates; Cebidae.
UCCCCCUCUCUAAUCCUUGCUAUCUGGGUGCUAGUGCUGUCUCAAUGCAAUG